UACGUAGGGGGCGAGCGUUGUCCGGAAUUAUUGGGCGUAAAGAGCGUGUAGGCGGUUCGGUAAGUCUGUCGUGAAAUCCUGGGGCUCAACCCCGGGCGUGCGAUGGAUACUGCCGGGCUAGAGGGUGGUAGAGGCGAGUGGAAUUCCCGGUGUAGCGGUGAAAUGCGCAGAUAUCAGGAGGAACACCUAUUGCGAAGGCAGCUCGCUGGGACGUAACUGACGCUGAGACGCGAAAGCGUGGGGAGCAAACAGG
This 253-nucleotide ribosomal RNA is filed under the name uncultured bacterium. RNAcentral's name for it is "partial 16S ribosomal RNA". It matches the Rfam family "Bacterial small subunit ribosomal RNA", at positions 524 to 776 of the family's 1533-position model. The record is from RNAcentral.